UACGUAGGGGGCUAGCGUUGUCCGGAAUCAUUGGGCGUAAAGCGCGCGUAGGCGGCCAGAUAAGUCCGGUGUGAAAGUCAAAGGCUCAACCUUUGAAUGCCGCUGGAAACUGUCUGGCUAGAGUCCGGAAGAGGCGAGUGGAAUUCCUGGUGUAGCGGUGAAAUGCGCAGAUAUCAGGAGGAACACCGGUGGCGAAGGCGGUUCUCUGGGCAUUACCUGACGCUGAGGAGCGAAAGCAUGGGGAGCGAACAGG
RNAcentral lists this ribosomal RNA (253 nucleotides) under uncultured bacterium. Its description in RNAcentral is "partial 16S ribosomal RNA". It matches the Rfam family "Bacterial small subunit ribosomal RNA", at positions 524 to 776 of the family's 1533-position model. The record is from RNAcentral.